Molecule: ribosomal RNA, 468 nt
Filed under: uncultured bacterium
Lineage: Bacteria
Description: partial 16S ribosomal RNA
Rfam family: Bacterial small subunit ribosomal RNA
Source: RNAcentral
GACGAACGCUGGCGGCGUGCUUAACACAUGCAAGUCGAACGGAAAGGCCCUGCUUUUGUGGGGUGCUCGAGUGGCGAACGGGUGAGUAACACGUGAGUAACCUGCCCUUGACUUUGGGAUAACUUCAGGAAACUGGGGCUAAUACCGGAUAGGAGCUCCUGCUGCAUGGUGGGGGUUGGAAAGUUUCGGCGGUUGGGGAUGGACUCGCGGCUUAUCAGCUUGUUGGUGAGGUAGUGGCUUACCAAGGCUUUGACGGGUAGCCGGCCUGGUAGGGUGACCGGCCACAUUGGGACUAAGAUACGGCCCAGACUCCUACGGGAGGCAGCAGUGGAAAAUAUUGCACAAUGGGCGGAAGCCUGAUGCAGCAACGCCGCGUGCGGGAUGACGGCCUUCGGGUUGUAAACCGCUUUCGCCUGUGACGAAACGUGAGUGACGGUAAUGGGUAAAGAAGCACCGGCUAACUACGUG